CCCGGGCUAAAGCCCCGACGGGAGGGGAUGGCUCCGCGGCCCAUCAGGUAGACGGCGGGGUGACGGCCCACCGUGCCGACAACGGGUAGCCGGGUUGAGAGACCGACCGGCCAGAUUGGGACUGAGACACGGCCCAGACUCCUACGGGAGGCAGCAGUGGGGAAUCUUGCGCAAUGGGGGGAACCCUGACGCAGCGACGCCGCGUGCGGGACGGAGGCCUUCGGGUCGUAAACCGCUUUCAGCAGGGAAGAGUCAAGACUGUACCUGCAGAAGAAGCCCCGGCUAACUACGUGCCAGCAGCCGCGGUAAUACGUAGGGGGCGAGCGUUAUCCGGAUUCAUUGGGCGUAAAGCGCGCGUAGGCGGCCCGGCAGGCCGGGGGUCGAAGCGGGGGGCUCAACCCCCCGAAGCCCCCGGAACCUCCGCGGCUUGGGUCCGGUAGGGGAGGGUGGAACACCCGGUGUAGCGGUGGAAUGCGCAGAUAUCGGGUGGAACACCGGUGGCGAAGGCGGCCCUCUGGGCCGAGACCGACGCUGAGGCGCGAAAGCUGGGGGAGCGAACAGGAUUAGAUACCCUGGUAGUCCCAGCCGUAAACGA
RNAcentral lists this ribosomal RNA (595 nucleotides) under uncultured bacterium. RNAcentral's name for it is "bacterial SSU rRNA". It matches the Rfam family "Bacterial small subunit ribosomal RNA", at positions 195 to 809 of the family's 1533-position model. The record is from RNAcentral.